UCGGGUAUGGUGUAGCGGUAACAUCGCUGACUCUCAAAACUUGCGUUGAGAGAGAUCCUCAGCAGCCCGGGGUUCGACUCCCCGUAUCCGAG
Echria macrotheca is the source of this 92-nucleotide non-coding RNA. Lineage: Eukaryota; Fungi; Ascomycota; Sordariomycetes; Sordariales; Schizotheciaceae. The record is from the annotation of a GenBank genome assembly.